This 3389-nucleotide unclassified non-coding RNA is filed under the name Apis dorsata (giant honeybee). RNAcentral describes it as "dNA (cytosine-5)-methyltransferase 3C-like, transcript variant X1". Lineage: Eukaryota; Metazoa; Arthropoda; Insecta; Hymenoptera; Apidae. The record is from RNAcentral.
CGCGUGCGUGUGCGCACGUGUGUGUGUAUGUUAUGCACGCGCGCACCAUGGUCGGUCAUACGUAUACAUAUAGCACCGGGUCUAAGCACGAACGAGUCGUGGCAGAGAGCGGGGUCGAGGGUGGAUUUCACGCAAAGCCGAGCGAGCGAGAAGGAAAUGCACGGCGCUCGACCAAGCGAGAGGCGAACAAUUCGCGUCGAAGCGCGUACGGACUGAUCCUCAAAACGGAAAGAGAACUAUCGGUGAAGAAACGAAAGGAGGAACGUUCGAAUAAGAAAGAGAAAGAGCGCUCGUUGCGAGUGCAACCAUCCUUCGCGAUCUACGUGGAAAUGAGAGCAGCCACGAAGGAUACGUUGGACCAGUGGGCGGGAAAAAGUGUUUGGUCGUUGGUAUGCGCGAUGGAAUUGGGUUUGAUAUCGGAUACCACCGCCUCUCGUAACAACGAGAUAUCGUUUCGCCCGAUAUCGGAGGUCGCGAGCAAAUCAUCAUCCCCCUUAAGGAUCUCGCCGCGGUUUCGAAAGAAACGAGCCAACGUAGGAGGAGGAAGAGGAAGAAGAAGGAAACGAGCGUCGAAAAUGAGUGGGAAGAGGAGGAAGAUGUACGCGAACGAUUCAACGAUCACCGUGGAUCAAUUUUGGAGAUCGCGCAAGAGAAAGCUCGGCCGACCGAAGAAACAACGUUCCGCCGAUCUACUCUCCUCCUCGUUCGAUCGUCGUCCGAUUUUGUCCGAUUCGUGUCGAUCGACUCGCUCGCGCUCCGCCAACAAUAACAGCAAUAACAACAAUAAUAAUAACAGCAAUAACAAUAACAAUAACAAUAACAACAACAACAACAGCAACAACAACAACAACAAUGUCCUUCUCGCCGGUACGGACGCUCCACGUUUCGAGCGACGAGUAUCCCGCGACGAUAAUGGCGCGUGGAAAAGUUCGAGAAAAAGUGUGCUUCACGAAAAAACGAACGACGAAAAUACGAUCGAGAAUGUUGUAACGCGUUCUAACGGGAGGGGACUCGAGUCGAAAGUUAAGGAGGACGAGAGUCGGGACUCGACGAAAUUCGACGAAAUUCACACGCUUCCUUUGAUGAAGAGAAUUUUUCGCGAGAGCGGUGUUGUUUACGGUGUUGAGAACGAGAGAAAAGAUGGCCGUCGAGAUACGACGGACGAGAAGUGGACGGUUCACGAGGCUGGAAAGAAAGAUUCUAUGAAAAAAGUUUCCUCCUCCGAGAGGAAGAGGGUUCGAGAGAAAAUGUUGAAAGGUAACGAGGAAAAUCAGGAGGUGAGAAGAGUGACGCGAGGAUCGAUGAAAAUUGGGAAGGAUCUGUCCGUCGGCAAAUUGGUGUGGGGCUAUUGCGCGGGAUGGUGGCCAGCGUUAAUUAUCGAUGCCGACCAUGUAGGAAUGUUGUCCGAGGAAGGGAAAUUAUGGGUUUACUGGAUCGGAGAAGCUCGUAUAUCAUUAUUGAACGAAAAGACGCAGAUCGAACCGUUCUCGUGUAACCUCAAGGCUAGACUGACGCAGAAUUUAAACGUACCGCGAAUUCGUGCCAUUGACGCAACUAUGCAGAUGUUGCGCAAAAAAUUGGGCGGCAUUUUGACCAAACCGUAUUUCACGUGGAUCGAAAGCAAUUUCCCCAAAAAUAUGAUCGAAAUGUUGGACGAAAUCAAGUUUUAUCCGUAUCCGAUAAAAAUGCAACAAAGAUUGGACCAUCUUAGAGAAAAAAACGCAAAAGUAACGGAAAGAUAUUUAUUGGAUCAAAAACGAGAAAAUCAAGAGAGAAAACUGGCCGAGAAGUCGAAAGAUUCGCCGCAAAAAGUCAACGUAGAUUUGACGCUUUUGCCAUUGAAAGAACAGAAUCCAGGAAUUAUAGCCUGGGCUAAAAUUGCCGGGCAUAAUUGGUGGCCAGCGAUGAUUAUCGAUUAUCGCGAUUGUUGCAUGCGAGAACCAACGUUCGGUUGCCAAUGGAUUAUGUGGUACGGUGACUACAAACUGUCAGAGGUGCAUCACCAAUUGUUUUUGAGAUUCGACAAGGGAAUGGAAAAAAUGCGGGAAUACACGAACAACACGAAAAAACAUAUUUAUCUCGUCGGUGUUCUUCAAGCCUCGAAGGACUAUUGCUCCCGCCUAGGAUUCGAAACCGUCAACUGGACUUUGGACGACGCGUUCGAAUAUUUUUCCAAACCUAAUCAUUACGAAACGUCGUCCACCUCGAGAAGAGAAGAUUCGGUUAAAAUCUAUGACAAAUAUUCGCCCCGUAUCGCGGAAAAAUUGAACGAAUUGAAGGAUAAUCCGAAUGUGGACGACGAACGGGCGAAUGAUAUAAACAACAGCGAUGAUUUGCGAUCGGCUAUAAGCGGAGAAAUCUCGUUCGAUUCGUUGUGCCUAAAGUGUCUACGUGUUUCCAACGAUAAAAUGGACAUUCAUCCGUUCUUCGAGGGAUCUUUGUGCAAAGAUUGUUCGGAACGAUAUAAACCCUGUAUGUUCGUUUUCGGUAACGACUCCAAAUGCUUUUAUUGCACGGUGUGCGCCGCCUCUGGGAUGGUGAUCAUCUGCGACAAAGAAGAUUGUCCAAGGGUUUACUGUACCGCUUGCAUGAAACACCUCUUAUGCCCGACGACUUACGAGCAAGUGCUCCAAGAGGAUCCUUGGGAAUGCUUCCUCUGCAAGUCUCGAUCGUUCACCGACACGAUCGUCAGACCUCGAACUAAUUGGAAGGACAAGAUAAUUAAUAUGUUCCGUACGAGUUGCGAUUCAAAUGCUCAACACUUGGUUGCAAAGCACAAUUCAGAGAAGAGAAAAAUACGCGUUCUCUCCCUGUUCGAUGGCCUUGGUACAGAUGUUUUCAGGUUUACUGGUGCUUCUGAAAUUGGGCUUCACAGUGGACGCCUACUACGCGAGCGAGAUCGAUCCAGACGCGUUGAUGGUUACCGCCUCGCAUUUCGGCGACCGUAUCCUUCAAUUAGGCAACGUAAAGGAUAUCACGAGCAGGACGAUUAAAGAGAUAGCGCCUAUCGAUCUUCUGAUCGGCGGAUCGCCGUGCAACGAUCUCAGUUUGGCCAAUCCGGCGCGCCUCGGCCUCCACGAUCCGAGGGGAACCGGUGUACUCUUCUUUGAGUAUCGUCGAAUUCUGAAACUGGUGAAGAAACUUAACAACGAACGACAUUUGUUUUGGUUGUACGAAAACGUCGCCUCGAUGCCCAGCGAGUACAGAUUGGAGAUUAAUAAACAUCUAGGACAAGAACCCGAUGUGAUAGAUUCGGCAGAUUUUUCACCUCAACAUAGAUUGAGGCUCUACUGGCAUAAUUUCCCGAUAGAACCACACUUGUUACCGUCCCAAAGGGAGCAGGAUGUGCAAGAUAUACUUACGCCACAUUGUCAACGUUACUCGCUCGU